GACGAACGCUGGCGGCGUGCCUAACACAUGCAAGUCGAACGAGAUUUACCCAAUUAGUUUACUAAGAAGGUAAAUCUAGUGGCGGACGGGUGAGUAACGCGUGGGCAAUCUGCCCUGUGGAAAGGGAUAGCCUCGGGAAACCGGGAUUAAUACCUUAUGAUAUUAUGACUACGCAUGUAGUGAUAAUCAAAGAUUUAUCGCCACAGGAUGAGCCCGCGUCCCAUUAGCUAGUUGGUGAGAUAAUAGCCCACCAAGGCGACGAUGGGUAGCCGACCUGAGAGGGUGAACGGCCACACUGGGACUGAGACACGGCCCAGACACCUACGGGUGGCAG
This 334-nucleotide ribosomal RNA is filed under the name uncultured Bacillota bacterium. RNAcentral describes it as "bacterial SSU rRNA". It matches the Rfam family "Bacterial small subunit ribosomal RNA", at positions 28 to 351 of the family's 1533-position model. The record is from RNAcentral. Lineage: Bacteria; Bacillati; Bacillota.